This 258-nucleotide long non-coding RNA is filed under the name Capsicum annuum. RNAcentral describes it as "long non-coding RNA (CANN_LNC009840)". Lineage: Eukaryota; Viridiplantae; Streptophyta; Magnoliopsida; Solanales; Solanaceae. The record is from RNAcentral.
CAACAACAACAACAACAAACCCAGUGUAUUCCCACCUAGUGGGGUCUGGGGGGGGUAAGAUGUACGCAGUCCAUACCUCUACCUCUGAUGAAGUAGAAAGGCUGUUUCCGAAAGACCCCCGGCUCAAGGCACGAGAUACCACACAAACAUAUAGUAAAGCACAGAAGCAGAUUACAUAACAUAAAUACGGCACCCAUAAGGAAUAUAAAACAGAGGAAAGCAGAGGAAAGCACACAGAUUCGUAAUAAACAUGGAACA